CAACAACAACAACAAACCCAGUGUAUUCCCACUUAGUGGGGUCUGGGGGGGGUAAGAUGUACGCAGUCCAUACCUCUACCUCUGAUGAAGUAGAAAGGUUGUUUCCGAAAGACCCACGGCUCAAGGCACAAGAUAUCACACAAACACAUAGUAAAGCACAGAAGCAGAUGACAUAACAUAAAUACGGCACCCAUAAGGAAUAUAAAACAGAGGAAAGCAGAGGAAAGCACACAGAUUCGUAAUAAGCAUAGAACCCUGAAUACGGAAUCAUAACGGGAA
Molecule: long non-coding RNA, 279 nt
Filed under: Capsicum annuum
Lineage: Eukaryota; Viridiplantae; Streptophyta; Magnoliopsida; Solanales; Solanaceae
Description: long non-coding RNA (CANN_LNC002607)
Source: RNAcentral